RNAcentral lists this long non-coding RNA (1253 nucleotides) under Canis lupus familiaris (dog). RNAcentral's name for it is "lncRNA (ENSCAFG00030022262.1)". Lineage: Eukaryota; Metazoa; Chordata; Mammalia; Carnivora; Canidae. The record is from RNAcentral.
AAUGGAUCACCAGACCGUGUACCCCGCUGUGGAAAUACGCGCACACCGCACACACGUUCAUAGUUCCUGGCGUUAGAGAAGGUGCGUAGUGAAUACAGAAUGAUCAUACACCCUACGGGGAGAGCUUGUGGGUUUAUAGCAAUAGAAGAUUAGGAUGUGCUUAGUUCUUAAUAUUAGCGAAGAAAAUAAUGAAAGAGUAAGAAAAGAAGUACAGAAACAGGAAGAUACCUGGCAGUAUUAUUUUCCAUUAAGAAAUAUUUGGAACUUCAUAUGAGAUCAUCUGAGGAUUUGGUCAAGUUCAUGGGCAAGCGUAAUGGGAGGGGAGAAUAAGUGUUGGAGCAAAUCUGCAAAACACGGAGGGGAAACGACAAUGUGCCUUGUAAGAUGAAGGUUUAGGUUGCGAGUCCUUUCUGGUGUUCUCUCAUCUUCUCUGCAAAGCUCAGGGCACCUGGGGACGCAUAAAGCCCGCAUCCUCCCCUAAAUGAGUGUGCGUGUCCGAGGUAUGCACUGCUGUCCCUCUUAAACGCACACAUUCUACUCUGUAAGAAAAAGCUGGCUUUUAAAACGGACAUUUUGGGAGCAACAGAAUAUCCUGUACCCAUGUUUUUAUUGAAGGAAAUUUCUAAAAAAGUGUUUUACUCCAUAAGUAAAGUGAUAGGGCAUGGGGGUCGGAAAGUCUCCUUUGACUUACUGUAGCAGGACUUGCUUUGCUUUGCUCUAAUGUUGGCGAAUAUAAACAUAUAUCCUGGUGGAUGCAUCCCGUUGUCUAAGGCUAUGUUCUCGCAAAGCUCAAAGCAUGUCUGGACAUCACUGGGAUGAAGUAAAAUCUCGGCAUCAGAUUUGGCGGUGGGUUCAACGAAACACAGUAGAUCACUAUCGCACGUCAGGAUCACAAAGUUCACUAAAAGUGUCACAGUUGAAGCUUAGUUUCAUCUCGAACAGAUUGUAUCUCUGGUACAUAAAUGCAUCCGGAAGAUAUGUGAAAAAGUACCAGGUCUCCAGGUUGAGUUGCAGGUUACCUUUCAUCUCCUGGGAAUUUCUGUAUGGAUGCGAGGAGGGGAUAAUUCAUAUUAUCUUGGGGGUCAUUGUCCACGUUUAGUUGUAGGUUGCUUUUGGAACAUCGUGGGUAGGCCUGGAGUCGCGCAGCAGUGAUACAUUUUAUCAGACUUCGUAGCUUUGCAUACAAGGACAAUUUACUUGCAAUACUUUCUUUACUGACCCUUAUUCCUGAAAAAGGCACCCCGGAGAACCGC